Molecule: long non-coding RNA, 2097 nt
Filed under: Nicotiana benthamiana
Lineage: Eukaryota; Viridiplantae; Streptophyta; Magnoliopsida; Solanales; Solanaceae
Description: long non-coding RNA (NBEN_LNC032543)
Source: RNAcentral
AGUCAACGGCACAAUUCAUCCUUACUUUAACUGACACACAUGAACUUUGACUUUUCUAGAAUCAAUUAUUUAUACCCAAUAGCUACCAUGAAAUAACAGUUUCAACAUUUAAUGGAUUUCAAACACUAUUAAGGGCUAAACCCAAGCAUGAGCAGCCUUAAACAAUGCCUAGCUAAUUUGUCUCACAAGAAUAAACAUGCGAAUCAUGAACUCUUUUGUAAUUACUAGACAUUAAAAUACGAUACUGAAUUCAAUCUCGAUUGAUGAUCCACAAAUUAUCAACAAGUCCCUAGAACAACCCAAUUAACUCAGCUUACAAUAUUCCUAAAGUCCAUAUCCCAAAUGUUUUGAUCAAUGAAAAUGUAAACUAUGACUAGCUUAAUAGUAAACUAACAGAUUUAAUCUAAGCCAACCCAACACAACUCAAUACAUACUCCAGCCAUUUAAAAUCAACAACAUAACUCAAACCAACAUUCUGCAAUUUGACUUGAUUCAAAUGUAUUAUAACAAAGCAAUGGCCAAAACGAUAGUUUCCAUUUCAUUUCAAGUGGAUACACCACAUAGAAGCUGGGUCGAAGGAGUGUACAUGAGAUUCAAAAUGUAAAAAAUGAGGAAAUAUGGAAGAUCAGUCAGGGCAGCAGUGAACCACAACUAGAUUCAACACAGCAAAAAUUCGAUUUCAACUUCAGAAACACACAAGAACCCACAACAGACAAUCAUUCACCACCAACAACAAAGGAAAUCACACAAAUGAACCCAAAACCUAACUGAAGGAGCCCUUGAACUUCUUGAAACCAAACACAAUUCAAUGAACUAUCAAAUUACUUGAAAAUGAACUGAAAAAUUCAAUGAAACAGUGAUUUCUCCAUUUCUUUUUGGUUUUUCUGGAGCUUUUUGCUGUUUUUUUUUUUGUUUUUUUACUUGAAUUCAAAAGGCUAAAUAUGAAACCAAAAUGAAGGAAAAGGAGUUUUCUAUGGGAGUUUUUAGGGCUGAAAGUUGAAGACCUUUACUCAAGGCCCUUCAUACCCUUUUAUAGGUAACUAAAGAGAAUAGAUCAGAUUUUAGGUUUUCCUUUUAUUCCCCCCUUAUUUUCAGUUUAGUCCCUAUAUUCUUGACUUGCUAAUCAAUUAAAUGCAUCACAAUUACUGAAAUCUACACUUGUACCACAUUCUAGAAACCUCUAGGGUGCUCUUUUAGCCCCAAAAUACCCAUACUACCCUUACCCAUGUUUUGAAAUUACCAAUCCUAAUAAAAUUACCCUUUCUAAUGCCCAACUACUCUUUUCUAUCCCUAAAAUGCCCUUAUGAACCCCUUGAAAUUACUGACCAAGGUCAGAACUAAACAAAUCUCUUGACUGGACCAUGGUCCAUCAACUCAGCCAUAACCAAACAACAACCUAAUUAAACACCAACAAUUAAUAUUAAAAAAAAAAAAGAUGAAUGACUUAUACUAACUGAAAUCAAUUCCAAACAAAUUCCGAGACGAAACUCACAUGAACAGGAUAAAACGGAAACCAAUUAUGCUAUCAACCAGUUAGCAAUUGGAUAUUUAACUAACAAAAUCCAAAAAUUAACACAAAAUUGAAUCAAAGAAACACAAGUGAAAAUUAAGCGAAAAGAACAAUUAAGCUAAACGCUCAUAUCACUCAUGGAGGUAAAGCAAAACUGUAAAUCACAAUUAAACAAAAACAACAAAUUAAACUGGAGAAAAAAAGAAAAAAACUUACUGGUGUUCAAGCUUUCAUGAGAAAACAUCGACUUCUGAUUAAUAUUAAACGUUUAUUUCAACGAAAGUAAACCAAUAAUAUUAAACAGAAAUCGAUUGAUUUUAAAGAAAAUACUCAAUCCCUAGCCCGGACUGUGAAAACCUUAGAUUCCAAAUUUGUGGAGACUCAGUGAGAUUCGAAGGGUUCAAGGCAUGAAAUAGAGAUUAGGGAAGAACAACGGUUGUCUAGUAUGAUUUUGUGUUCAUUUAGAGCUCUGCUGCCGCUGGCGGCGAUUUUCGGCCGGCGGAGACGGUGAGGUAAAUUUUGGUACGAGGAGGAAAAGAUUGGUCGUGUACUUUCUGAAGGAAUUUGGACAGUUUUAUGUAAAAGGC